Molecule: non-coding RNA, 445 nt
Organism: Corylus avellana
Lineage: Eukaryota; Viridiplantae; Streptophyta; Magnoliopsida; Fagales; Betulaceae
Source: RefSeq, a predicted model, not a curated record
CAAAAGGCGUAAGCACUGUUUGCUGAUCCUCGAAGCCAACACCCACCAAAGUCCCACAAGAAAAUCGAAUCGAAUUCAGCAGAAGAAAGAGCGAGCGAUGGCGUUGAUGAGGGGCGAGCCACUGGUGAAGAAGCUGGCCUUGCUGGCGAAGUACGUGGUUCUUCCGGGAGCCAUGGCCGCAGCUCUCGUCUACUCUCCUCCAGAUUACGCCUCUUCUUCCUCCUCCAGGUCCCAAAAGCCCUCCGAAUAGAUCCCCCUUCUAUUUCACUUCUCGGGGCAUCUUGAUCGCUUACGCAUGCAUGUCUGUAAACAUGCACUCUCUUUUUGGUAAACUUGGUAUGUAAUAAGCAUCAUGAUCGUGUAAUUGUUGAAUUUUUUGUGUAGCUAUUUGGAGAGAUGAAUGUGUGUUGUGUUUGUUUUAAGGAAUUUGGGAGCAAUUUUCUUC